AUUGAACGCUGGCGGAAUGCUUUACACAUGCAAGUCGAACGGUAGAGGGGGCAACCCCUUGAGAGUGGCGAACGGGUGAGUAAUAUAUCGGAACGUGCCCAGUCGUGGGGAUAACGUAGCGAAAGUUACGCUAAUACCGCAUACGAUCUAAGGAUGAAAGCGGGGGAUCGCAAGACCUCGCGCGAUUGGAGCGGCCGAUAUCAGAUUAGGUAGUUGGUGGGGUAAAGGCUCACCAAGCCAACGAUCUGUAGCUGGUCUGAGAGGACGACCAGCCACACUGGAACUGAGACACGGUCCAGACUCCUACGGGAGGCAGCAGUGGGGAAUUUUGGACAAUGGGCGCAAGCCUGAUCCAGCAAUGCCGCGUGCAGGAUGAAGGCCUU
RNAcentral lists this ribosomal RNA (383 nucleotides) under uncultured bacterium. Its description in RNAcentral is "bacterial SSU rRNA". It matches the Rfam family "Bacterial small subunit ribosomal RNA", at positions 30 to 418 of the family's 1533-position model. The record is from RNAcentral.